CGACCUCCAGAGGUCAGAAUUUAAAAAUUAAAAUUAAAAUAUACCAACUUCCAGAGGCUGAAAAUAUUAAAAAUUAAAAAUUAACAAAUACCGACCUCCAGAUGUCGGUAUUUCAAAAUAUGAGAAAUAAAUAUUCUGACAUAAAUAUUCUACAUUCAGAAGACGGAAAUAAUAAAAAUAAAAAAUAAACAAAUAUAUAAAAGUGAC
RNAcentral lists this long non-coding RNA (207 nucleotides) under Solanum tuberosum (potato). RNAcentral describes it as "long non-coding RNA (STUB_LNC004993)". The record is from RNAcentral. Lineage: Eukaryota; Viridiplantae; Streptophyta; Magnoliopsida; Solanales; Solanaceae.